This 338-nucleotide unclassified non-coding RNA is filed under the name Agaricales sp. Its description in RNAcentral is "partial contains 5.8S ribosomal RNA, internal transcribed spacer 2, and large subunit ribosomal RNA". Lineage: Eukaryota; Fungi; Basidiomycota; Agaricomycetes; Agaricales. The record is from RNAcentral.
CGCAUCUUGCGCUCCCCGGCAUUCCGGGGAGCAUGCCUGUUUGAGUGUCAUGAAAUUCUCAACCCCUCCGGUCCUGUACAGGACUCGGACGGGGCUUGGAUCUUGGACGUCUGCAGGGACCGACAGGCCCCGGCUCGUCCCAAACCCAUUAGCGAUCGCCUGCCUUGGUUCAACGGUCCGACUCGGCGUGAUAGUAAUUUGAACUCCGUCGAGGACACCGGCUCCACUGGGAGCGCUCACGGUGACCGUCCAUUGCGGUUCGGACGCUGACAGUUAGAGAACGAGCCAAGCUCAUUUAUUUCGACCUCAAAUCAGGUAGGACUACCCGCUGAACUUAA